CGGGAUUUCUGGAAAAUCAAAUGUUUUCCUCGUUUCACCAAGGGUUAUUCUUUAUCUAUUGCGUUUGAAAGAAUUUUCUUAGUUUUCGAUAGAUUUUAGAUGAUUCAAUGCACUUUUUAAAAGCCUCUUCAAGGAUGAGAUGCAGAGGUUUACUGAUAGUUGGAUCAGGAAGAUUUGUUAUCAUUGAUCUGCGAUGACCAUUUUGCUUACACCUCACAGAACCAGGAUAAGGGAGUGGUGCAGAUCUUGUUUUCUCCUUGGAUAUACAGUCAUUGUAGAAAAGUACCAAGUAUGAAAGAUGCAAGUAUUGUACUGAAUUACAAAUAUGCUCCUCUGCCUCUGUUCCUGGAUGUUUGAUUGUGUAGCUGAGUUCAAUGAGAUAAGUAUUGAUACAGCUGAAAACUGUAUACAUUGUUUACAUUGGACAUAAUGUGCACCAGAUAAGUUUCAACUUUUUGUCUGUUGGGUACUUUAGUGUUAUCAAAUGAGUUGAUAAUGUAAAUUGGCCACCAUAAAGAGUUUAUAUCAAAUGAGUUGAUAA
Molecule: long non-coding RNA, 541 nt
Organism: Pocillopora damicornis (cauliflower coral)
Lineage: Eukaryota; Metazoa; Cnidaria; Anthozoa; Scleractinia; Pocilloporidae
Source: RefSeq, a predicted model, not a curated record